This 1550-nucleotide ribosomal RNA is filed under the name Enterobacter cancerogenus. Its description in RNAcentral is "bacterial SSU rRNA". It matches the Rfam family "Bacterial small subunit ribosomal RNA". The record is from RNAcentral. Lineage: Bacteria; Pseudomonadati; Pseudomonadota; Gammaproteobacteria; Enterobacterales; Enterobacteriaceae.
AAAUUGAAGAGUUUGAUCAUGGCUCAGAUUGAACGCUGGCGGCAGGCCUAACACAUGCAAGUCGAACGGUAGCACAGAGAGCUUGCUCUCGGGUGACGAGUGGCGGACGGGUGAGUAAUGUCUGGGAAACUGCCUGAUGGAGGGGGAUAACUACUGGAAACGGUAGCUAAUACCGCAUAACGUCGCAAGACCAAAGAGGGGGACCUUCGGGCCUCUUGCCAUCAGAUGUGCCCAGAUGGGAUUAGCUAGUAGGUGGGGUAACGGCUCACCUAGGCGACGAUCCCUAGCUGGUCUGAGAGGAUGACCAGCCACACUGGAACUGAGACACGGUCCAGACUCCUACGGGAGGCAGCAGUGGGGAAUAUUGCACAAUGGGCGCAAGCCUGAUGCAGCCAUGCCGCGUGUAUGAAGAAGGCCUUCGGGUUGUAAAGUACUUUCAGCGGGGAGGAAGGCGAUAAGGUUAAUAACCUUGUCGAUUGACGUUACCCGCAGAAGAAGCACCGGCUAACUCCGUGCCAGCAGCCGCGGUAAUACGGAGGGUGCAAGCGUUAAUCGGAAUUACUGGGCGUAAAGCGCACGCAGGCGGUCUGUCAAGUCGGAUGUGAAAUCCCCGGGCUCAACCUGGGAACUGCAUUCGAAACUGGCAGGCUAGAGUCUUGUAGAGGGGGGUAGAAUUCCAGGUGUAGCGGUGAAAUGCGUAGAGAUCUGGAGGAAUACCGGUGGCGAAGGCGGCCCCCUGGACAAAGACUGACGCUCAGGUGCGAAAGCGUGGGGAGCAAACAGGAUUAGAUACCCUGGUAGUCCACGCCGUAAACGAUGUCGACUUGGAGGUUGUGCCCUUGAGGCGUGGCUUCCGGAGCUAACGCGUUAAGUCGACCGCCUGGGGAGUACGGCCGCAAGGUUAAAACUCAAAUGAAUUGACGGGGGCCCGCACAAGCGGUGGAGCAUGUGGUUUAAUUCGAUGCAACGCGAAGAACCUUACCUACUCUUGACAUCCAGAGAACUUUCCAGAGAUGGAUUGGUGCCUUCGGGAACUCUGAGACAGGUGCUGCAUGGCUGUCGUCAGCUCGUGUUGUGAAAUGUUGGGUUAAGUCCCGCAACGAGCGCAACCCUUAUCCUUUGUUGCCAGCGGUUAGGCCGGGAACUCAAAGGAGACUGCCAGUGAUAAACUGGAGGAAGGUGGGGAUGACGUCAAGUCAUCAUGGCCCUUACGAGUAGGGCUACACACGUGCUACAAUGGCGCAUACAAAGAGAAGCGACCUCGCGAGAGCAAGCGGACCUCAUAAAGUGCGUCGUAGUCCGGAUUGGAGUCUGCAACUCGACUCCAUGAAGUCGGAAUCGCUAGUAAUCGUAGAUCAGAAUGCUACGGUGAAUACGUUCCCGGGCCUUGUACACACCGCCCGUCACACCAUGGGAGUGGGUUGCAAAAGAAGUAGGUAGCUUAACCUUCGGGAGGGCGCUUACCACUUUGUGAUUCAUGACUGGGGUGAAGUCGUAACAAGGUAACCGUAGGGGAACCUGCGGUUGGAUCACCUCCUUACCUUAAAGAA